UAUGCCCUACGGGAGGCAGCAGUGAGGAAUAUUGGUCAAUGGUCGGGAGACUGAACCAGCCAAGCCGCGUGAGGGAGGAAGGUACAGAGUAUCGUAAACCUCUUUUGUCAGGAGACAAAGACUGGGACGCGUCCCCGGAUGAGUGUACCUGAAGAAAAAGCAUCGGCUAACUCCGUGCCAGCAGCCGCGGUAAUACGGAGGAUGCGAGCGUUGUCCGGAUUUAUUGGGUUUAAAGGGUGCGUAGGCGGGUUAUCAAGUCAGCGGUAAAAUCGUGGAGCUCAACUCCAUCCAGCCGUUGAAACUGG
Molecule: ribosomal RNA, 305 nt
Filed under: uncultured bacterium
Lineage: Bacteria
Description: bacterial SSU rRNA
Rfam family: Bacterial small subunit ribosomal RNA
Source: RNAcentral